This is a long non-coding RNA of Daphnia pulicaria, 3854 nucleotides long. RefSeq lists it as uncharacterized. The transcript is spliced from 11 exons. Lineage: Eukaryota; Metazoa; Arthropoda; Branchiopoda; Diplostraca; Daphniidae. The record is from RefSeq and is a predicted model, not a curated record.
GCAGGCAGGCAGGCGGUCACCAUGUUGAAACUAAUAUUUGAAUUCUCGAGAUGUGACUGGUUAUCUAACUGGAUUCCGGAAGAUCGCACCCGGGGAUCAUUGGCGAAAAAGUCGAAUAGAAAUUGCUGUUGUAGGAGGGACAUUCUUUAUUACUGGUUGUUUCGUCUUGAUCGAAACUUUUUAGCAAGCGAAUGGCGCAGGCGAACUUAUUAAAAGGAUCGUCGUUCUAAUAGAUUUUGGCGUUGGCCCAGCCAGACCACUAACUUUCCUCAUUUGUUCCCAUUCCAAGAUAAAAAAGAGAGGGCUAUAAACCAAUGCCAAAGUAUAUAUCCGUGAGACCGUGACAGUACACUUAUUCUAUUACCGCCACGCGACGUUGACACGGCUAAAUCUCGAGGAAAAUUUAUGAAGUUGGCCCGAAAAACUGAUUGGAAUGGGGGGCGACUUUCUUUUCUGCAGCGAACAAAAAAGGGGGAAAUCAAUACAAAAGAAUACCCCAUCUUUUUAUUACUCGCGCAAAGCUUUUGUUUCACGUUCAAAAAAAUCUCAUAUUCCUCUGUUUUUCAAUUAUCUUGCGUCACACAAAUAAAAGGCCCAGCCGUGACGAAAUUAUUCCAAACAUUGGCAACGUCAAACGCCAUUCCCGGUUUUCGUCUGUUUGAUGUCGAGUCGCAAAAGUUGAAAGUGCUCGUAAGUCAUCACUUUCGGCGGGCUGGAAUAUCCGAGAAUACAAGACGCGCAAUCGGCAUAUCAUUUGAAUAUCAUCACGAAAAUAUUGCCUGCUCAGAUAUACACGCCCUUGCGUCGAUAUUUGAAAGUUUUCUUCAUGGCUAAACGAAACGAUUUCAUCAUGGGGAAAAUGUUUAUCGCCCAACGUGUCUUUGGAAAAGUCAUCAAUGUGAAGAAGCCACAAAGCCAUUGCAGCCUUUUUGUAGGUCUUCUUAUUUCGUGGCUCAGCAGUAACAUUUGAAAACCGGAAGAAAAGAAGAAGAAAGAAAAAAGAGCACACCAAAAGCUUAUUAACAGAUGUCGAUUAAUAAGAAAAGAAGAAAAAAAGGACUCACGCGCCAGCAUUAAGGAUCCAGUAGGUGGGAUCAUCCGAUAGCCAAGGAUUAGACGGCUGGGGCGUCUGAAGAAACGGAUCGUAUUCGCUGUAGGUGGCGCAGUGUUGUUGCAGCGUCUCGGCCGCCACAGACACCUUGAUCCGCGCUCUAACCAGCUGGCCCCUCACAAACUCCACCUGAAACCACAGGAGACGGUCACAGCAAAUUCACCAUUGUUGUUUACGGGGCUGACGAACCGAACGACCUGUCACCACCCACACGAAACCGUUGAAGAAAGAGAGGACGAGCCAAAGAGAAGAGAAUUCUGGAGACUACUAGAGAGAGUAGUAUUGAUUUUUCGUGCCCUGCUGCUGCUGCUGUAUGUGUCGGAGAAAAUAGAUGGAAGACCGGCGAAAUAGUACGACGCUAUAGAAAAAAAGAAAGAUGUCCUCUUCUUCUACCUUUGCAAAAAAGGAAAGGGGGCCUCGUUAAGCUAAUUUAAGCAAGGGAUUUUUACAAGUACGUGUGUAUCGGAUAAAAAGUUCUACCUCCCUCAUUCCUCUCCUUGGAUACAGAUGAGGCCAAAGCCGUCGCCGUCGUUUCAGUCCAACCCAUGUUUCCAGCGGUAUCAUCAGCGCAGCGGGUUGGCAUGGUGACCGUGCACCGAAUAUAUCCUAUAUAUAUAUUCUCAGGGGCAUGAUUACAUCCAGCAGCAGCAGCAGCAGCCAUCAUCUUCCCUCUCGCUCUCCCUUUCGCUUGUCAUUACAUAACUUGAUACAACAUUCGCCCAGGCUCCCCGCACAAAAAGAGUUUUGAUCUCUUCGAUGUUCUUCCACUUUCGGAUAAAAUUGGACGAUGCGGUUGUGCAAGAAGCUCCGGCCGAGUCGUCACGCUGAUUCGAAGAUGGCGCCAAUGAAAUCCACGACGAGUUGGUGGGGAAAGGCGGCUGUUCCAGGCAAUUGAGGAAACUGGGCGGCGGCCUGUACGCCCUCCAAUAGGCCCGCUCUUGGCUAUCCGUUACGAUCUUGUCGCCUUUCUUCCGGUCUUUGGCCAGCCUCACCUUGACGGAACAAAUGGAGAAAAUGUACAACAACCAACAACGGCGAGUGAGAGACCCCACAAGCUCUUUUACUUAUCUUUCCCUCCGCAACCAGUAUUGCCCGCACAGUCCGGUUGGUGAUGCCUUUCGUUGUCUAUUGCCCGCCGCCGCCGCCGCCGUCGUCGUCGUCGUCGUCGUCGUUCUUUAAUUGGAUUGCGCACGACAUCCCAUCUCCGUCCCAGACGCGACUUGGAACUUCCGGCCGGAUGGCAAUAAUCAAGGACGCACAGAUGUUGUCAAGUAAAAAGUCGCAACAACAGCCGUUGAAGAUUUUUUUUAAGAAAGUCCCGCUGUCCACGUGGUAAACCCGCCCAAAUAAAAAGAAUGUUUGAAAUAAGAAAAAAAAGGUGAUAUUAUUUCUGUACGCUCCUGCCCCGCUCCCGACUCCCGAAAGAAGAAAAAAGAUGGGCGAGGCGAGAUGGGAGUUAUUCUGGUCCCCCCACCCAUUCAUCGGCAAACCUUCGCAUCUAUAUACUCGCACGCCGGGGGGCGCUGGAUUGCAAAACGCCAUUCCGUUCCUUUUUAUUUGCUUUUUGCGUUUGGGAUGAAGGAAGAAAAAGUGACGCAAGCGCGUGCCUCCGCUAUCGACGAUUCAGGAACACCACAAACUACUUUUACUACUACAUGGUGGAGUCAGGAUGGAUCGAAUGGGAGGCCUGCCCCGUUCCCCCCUGGAAAUUUCCAUUAAUUUGAAAAUGAUUUUCUUGAUGGAUCUGCCGCUUCUGCUCAUACCAGUGGAUGUGCAUCUUACACAGAUCCCGGGAGCUGCUGCUGCUCUUUAAGAGAGUCGUGAGGUGGAGGAUGGGUGGGACUGACAAGAAGAAUGGACGAUUAAUAUUCACGAGAAUGAAUGCGCAACAUCCGCCUUCCCCCCACCACCCCACAUGACAUGGCGAGGAGGAGGACGGUCGGUCGGUCGGUCGGGAAAUCCCAGGAGGGACGGCCCAACUGUGCGGCAAAGCGGAGGCAAAGUCGUACGUUAUUUAUUAGGCAAAUGAAGGGCCGUCCGACGGUCCGGCAGCGGCAAUCAUACUCGCAGGUGAUGAGGAUCUCGGUCGACGACGACAACAGUGGUGGCAGACGACGGGAUCUGGCGGCCUGAUGGACGGCCUGGCUCCUGCGAGCUGGUGGCGGCGGCGGCGGCGGCGGCGACGGCCCAGCAUUUGGGCAUGUUGAUGUUUUUACACCUUCUUCAGAAAAAUGUGGAGUGGAAUGCUGGACGAGAUGACGUUGGAGAGUCCUCGACCACCACAACAACAACCGAAUCGACGACGCACUUUUCUUCUCCCACCAAAAAUAUUCGGUCCCGCUCAGAAUAAGCGACAAGUUAUUCGACACGACAAUCCUCAACAAUUGUCAAUUCUUUUGAUCGUUCGUUUCACUGGAAAAGGAGAACCCGAACAAAAACGUUUCCGAUCGGAAAUGGUCAACAGAGAGAGAGAGAGAAAAAAAAAGGAAAUUCUUAACGCAAUCGAAACCGGGCGGACACACACAAAAAAAGGACGACGACGAAUCGAAUCAAAGGGAGAGAAAUGAAAACGGAUCCGAGAGGUACGAAGAAGAGCUAAAUAUUCUUUUCGCACGGGAUUUCUUCUUUUGGGGUUGGCCUUGUCACAGCUCCGAAAAUAACAGAUGGACAAGGAUGAAUGUAAUCAGAGGAAAUGAAGGAAGAAGAUAAAAGAAGAUAAAAGAUGGCCGAAAAAAUCAAAGAA